This 427-nucleotide ribosomal RNA is filed under the name Methanoculleus sp. enrichment culture clone CIBANICRA-42. RNAcentral describes it as "bacterial SSU rRNA". It matches the Rfam family "Archaeal small subunit ribosomal RNA", at positions 343 to 776 of the family's 1478-position model. The record is from RNAcentral. Lineage: Archaea; Methanobacteriati; Methanobacteriota; Methanomicrobia; Methanomicrobiales; Methanomicrobiaceae.
UAACUUUACAAUGCGGUCAACCGUGAUAGGGGCACCUCGAGUGCCUGUAUAUGCAGGCUGUCCAGGUGUCUAAAACACACCUGAAGAAAGGGCCGGGCAAGACCGGUGCCAGCCGCCGCGGUAAUACCGGCGGCUCGAGUGGUGGCCGCUUUUAUUGGGCUUAAAGCGUUCGUAGCUGGGUCGUUAAGUCUCUUGGGAAAUCCGGCAGCUCAACUGUCGGGCGUCUAAGAGAUACUGGCGAUCUUGGAACCGGGAGAGGUGAGGGGUACUUCGGGGGUAGGAGUGAAAUCCUGUAAUCCUCGAGGGACCACCUGUGGCGAAGGCGCCUCACCAGAACGGCUUCGACAGUGAGGGACGAAAGCUGGGGGAGCAAACCGGAUUAGAUACCCGGGUAGUCCCAGCCGUAAACUAUGCGCGUUAGGUGAAA